UGCAAGUCGUACGCACUGGCCCAACUGAUUGAUGGUGCUUGCACCUGAUUGACGAUGGAUUACCAGUGAGUGGCGGACGGGUGAGUAACACGUAGGUAACCUGCCCCGGAGCGGGGGAUAACAUUUGGAAACAGAUGCUAAUACCGCAUAACAACAAAAGCCACAUGGCUUUUGUUUGAAAGAUGGCUUUGGCUAUCACUCUGGGAUGGACCUGCGGUGCAUUAGCUAGUUGGUAAGGUAACGGCUUACCAAGGCGAUGAUGCAUAGCCGAGUUGAGAGACUGAUCGGCCACAAUGGAACUGAGACACGGUCCAUACUCCUACGGGAGGCAGCAGUAGGGAAUCUUCCACAAUGGGCGCAAGCCUGAUGGAGCAACACCGCGUGAGUGAAGAAGGGUUUCGGCUCGUAAAGCUCUGUUGUUGGAGAAGAACGUGCGUGAGAGUAACUGUUCACGCAGUGACGGUAUCCAACCAGAAAGUCACGGCUAACUACGUGCCAGCAGCCGCGGUAAUACGUAGGUGGCAAGCGUUAUCCGGAUUUAUUGGGCGUAAAGCGAGCGCAGGCGGUUGCUUAGGUCUGAUGUGAAAGCCUUCGGCUUAACCGAAGAAGUGCAUCGGAAACCGGGCGACUUGAGUGCAGAAGAGGACAGUGGAACUCCAUGUGUAGCGGUGGAAUGCGUAGAUAUAUGGAAGAACACCAGUGGCGAAGGCGGCUGUCUGGUCUGCAACUGACGCUGAGGCUCGAAAGCAUGGGUAGCGAACAGGAUUAGAUACCCUGGUAGUCCAUGCCGUAAACGAUGAGUGCUAGGUGUUGGAGGGUUUCCGCCCUUCAGUGCCGGAGCUAACGCAUUAAGCACUCCGCCUGGGGAGUACGACCGCAAGGUUGAAACUCAAAGGAAUUGACGGGGGCCCGCACAAGCGGUGGAGCAUGUGGUUUAAUUCGAAGCUACGCGAAGAACCUUACCAGGUCUUGACAUCUUGCGCUAACCUUAGAGAUAAGGCGUUCCCUUCGGGGACGCAAUGACAGGUGGUGCAUGGUCGUCGUCAGCUCGUGUCGUGAGAUGUUGGGUUAAGUCCCGCAACGAGCGCAACCCUUGUUACUAGUUGCCAGCAUUAAGUUGGGCACUCUAGUGAGACUGCCGGUGACAAACCGGAGGAAGGUGGGGACGACGUCAGAUCAUCAUGCCCCUUAUGACCUGGGCUACACACGUGCUACAAUGGACGGUACAACGAGUCGCAAGCUCGCGAGAGUAAGCUAAUCUCUUAAAGCCGUUCUCAGUUCGGACUGUAGGCUGCAACUCGCCUACACGAAGUCGGAAUCGCUAGUAAUCGCGGAUCAGCAUGCCGCGGUGAAUACGUUCCCGGGCCUUGUACACACCGCCCGUCACACCAUGGGAGUUUGUAACGCCCAAAGUCGGUGGCCUAACCUUUAUGGAGGGAGCCGCCUAAGGCGGGACAGAUGACUG
Molecule: ribosomal RNA, 1465 nt
Filed under: Limosilactobacillus reuteri
Lineage: Bacteria; Bacillati; Bacillota; Bacilli; Lactobacillales; Lactobacillaceae
Description: bacterial SSU rRNA
Rfam family: Bacterial small subunit ribosomal RNA
Source: RNAcentral